GGAUUAUUUGAUAUGGUUUGAUAUGAUCAUUAUUCAUUAACCCUUCAGAGUAGUCAAAUGUAUCAGAAGGAGGUGAAUGGAGCAGAUUGAGAGGGAGAAUGUGAAGAAACAGCAGGUGGCGCUAGUGCACUGUUUUAGUUUGGGAUCUGCUGUUAGAAGGAAGAAGAAGGAGAAAGCAGGUGUGUUUGUGCUUCACAUUCCUGUCCAGUUGGUGGCGCUGAUGCACGAGAUCUGUUGUUAACUGGACUUUGAUUUUCUCCAAGAUGAAGUCGUGUCAGGUGACAAACAUCAAUCGUGAAGAUCGCACAGGUGUUUAACAGCGAUCACAAACCGGAAGUGUUUGAAAGACUUCUGGAUUCUGUUCCUGCAGCACAAGAUCGUCUGAACUACUGCAAGUCAUGAUGAGCAUCUGAUCGUCUUCAGAGACACAAAGAUCUCAGUGUUGAGCUGUUCAUCUGCAGUAUGUCAGAGAAGAGAGGAAAGAUGAGUCUCUCACACAAACAGAGUGUAAGAUCAAACUCACAUGUGUCCAGCUCUGUGUCUGUGAAGAGUGACUGGUCAAAACAUGAUCCACCGAGAUUCAGUGAAGAAACCCCAUCAGCUACUGAAAGGUAUUUCAUUUGGUUUGUAUUAUGCCACUAGCUAAUUUCUGCACUGGGGUAUCUGUGAUGGAAAUUAACUGAAUAAAACCGUAUAUCCCAGAACAAUAUCUGCUUUCCUUUUCAUUGAAGUAGGUCUGGAGGUUCUUUCCAGUAAUGCAGUUACACAAGCAGCAGCAACGAGGCAUAAAUUCACCAUAGAGACAUGAAUAUGUACUUCCAUCUGUUUAAUUACCAUUAACAUUUAUUAAUUUAGCUGAUGCUUUUAUCCAAAGCGACUUACAAUUGCUAUAUAUGUCAGA
RNAcentral lists this long non-coding RNA (901 nucleotides) under Carassius auratus (goldfish). RNAcentral's name for it is "lncRNA (ENSCARG00000027894.1)". The record is from RNAcentral. Lineage: Eukaryota; Metazoa; Chordata; Actinopteri; Cypriniformes; Cyprinidae.